UUUCUUAAUCAUCAGAGCAAUAAGAACAAGAAGGAAAUAAUCAAAGUAGUCACACUCAGCUCCUUUUCCUCAGUUGAUGCUUUCUAGAUGAUGUCCAACAAAGAUUCUACAAGUCAUAAGGGUAUAUCAACACUACACCUUGAAUACUUUUACUAGCAGCAUUAUAUAUAAUUUUCUAAAGGCACUUUGCCGAAGAUGCCAAUCCGUUGAUACUAGAGCCUGUCCAGCAGAGUAAUAAAUAAAAUAUAAAAUGAGGAACACAUAGUUCAAAUGAACAUGCAAUAGUACUCUAAAGGGCAAAAGAACCAAAUUAAGCAGGUUCACACAACUGAACCGUCGUAAGCCGAGAAUAGUAUAGCUUAUCUCUGUAAUCUAAUCUGAGUUCCACGCUGGUUAGCAGACUCAACUACCUUUAUCUGUCUUUUUAAGUUCCAGUCCAAUGACUUACAAUACUUGCUUAGUGUGCUCCUGCACUAGCACAUGGCUUCUCUUCAUUGAUUAUAUGUUCUUGUUAUUUUAUUUCUGCAAGGCUGCAAAAAGAAGACCCAUCUGUUGUUGCUUGUGGGAACUGGGAGAGAACAAAUUAAUCAAAUGCUAUUGUAAACUACGCUCUUGGAAAUGAGUGCACAAUGCACUGGGACGAGUCUUCUUUUUAGGACCAAACGCAAAGAGCUAAUUAAUUGGUCUGGUACCUGCAAAGUUAACACAUGCUUUAUGAGCUAAUUGUAAUAAGACAACAAUGAGUGUUAUGUGCAACUUUAAGCUAGUGAAUCACAUUGAAUUUUAAUAUGACAUGAUGUUGCCAUAGUGUAAAGUGGACAU
RNAcentral lists this long non-coding RNA (822 nucleotides) under Sorghum bicolor (sorghum). Its description in RNAcentral is "long non-coding RNA (SBIC_LNC007965)". Lineage: Eukaryota; Viridiplantae; Streptophyta; Magnoliopsida; Poales; Poaceae. The record is from RNAcentral.